This 1567-nucleotide long non-coding RNA is filed under the name Salvator merianae (Argentine black and white tegu). RNAcentral describes it as "lncRNA (ENSSMRG00000005558.1)". The record is from RNAcentral. Lineage: Eukaryota; Metazoa; Chordata; Lepidosauria; Squamata; Teiidae.
CUGGAUUCUCCGGGGAAACUAUAGAAGGAAUGGGCAAUGAUCUGUAUAUGACAGUUGCUGCCGGACUAGAACAAAAUGAAUCUCUUCAGCUUGAACUGCUCCCUUCAGAAAGACCCCCAAGUCCUGCGGUUGAAUCAAAAACUUUUCUGAACAUUGGUAGCCACCCUAAUACAUUCCCUGCUCCUUUUCUGCAGACAUUCAAAAGUAACUUCAUGGGCACCACUAGAACUUUGACCUCUCAAACUGUUCACACAAAUAAUCCAGAGAAAACCCAAGUACAGAGAACAUUUUCUUCACACCUUAGCCAUUCAGUAACCAUACAUAGGAAGCAUCUCCUAAAAAAGCAUACCAAACCAAAUCUUCCCCACUAUUCUACUCUCACGACAAGCUAUGAAAUAUAUUUGACAGCAGAAAAUAAUUCCCAUGGAAGGGAUUCUGUAUUCAAGUUUCACGAAAAUCUUGUACUGGAAUCCCCGCACAAUCCUGGAGAUCUUCUGUUUGAAAUAACUUUUGGGGUGGAACAUAAAGCACAAAUCCCGCUAGCUGGAAGCAAGAUGGAAAAGGCUCUCAUAAGUGCCAUUAAAUAUCAGGUAGAAGAGAAAGUGAAACCCCUUUCAAACAAAGUCAAUGAAGUCAGGUUAAAGGAGAUUAAAAGGAAAGCAGAAACCAAAAUUGAUAGACAAAAUGGACCAAAGAUGAUAUUCAUAUUCUGGCUGCACCUCAUACCAGAAGAAAACAAUAUGUCUUAUUUAUUGCAUUUGCAACUGGAAGACCUCAUUGGUACAUCUAUAGGAAAUGGGAAAGUUGAGAGUGUUAAAGUGAGAGAUGUGAAUGAAUGCAGCUCUGGGAUUGGGCUAUGUGGGAAUAAGGCUAUCUGCCUUAAUGGAUAUGGUACUUACAUCUGUCAAUGUAAAGAAGAAUAUGAGGACCAUUCCCUAACAAAAUUGGGUACUAGGUGCAUUCGUAAGUCAUGGUCAGGCCUGGGCUCCUUGUAUAUGUACACUGAGAUUCUUGUAGGAGUCAUUGUUUUCUUCGUCUCUCUCCUUGUGGUGCUGAUCAGUGUGCUGUGUACAAUACUAAAGAAGAGACACACUAAGAGGGGUUUAAGCAUUCAAGAGGAAUCUCUGCCUGAGACGCCAACAGCCUUUGAUCAGAAGACCAUCCAUAAACUUCUUACUCUAGACCCUGCCUUGUUAAAACUGAGAGCCAAGCCACCAGAAUGGCCACUGCAACAGAGAAUUAGCCCAAAUGAAACAUGCAGAGUAUCUAUGGAGCAGUCUGAUUGCUUAUAAAAAUGGAUUAUGAGAGACNCCAUCCUUUUUUUUUCAUUAUUAAUAUUUCUCAUUUAUUGUCAUCGAGCCGAUGCAACUUUUUGUUUCUUGGAAAAUCUUACAGAUGUUUUAUUGCCCCUUUUUCUGUGUUUGAUUUAACUAAGUGUCUUAACUGAAAUAGAUGUUCUGUAAUAGUUUUUCUCUUGAAAUUUUUGGGUUUUUUGCUUAUGAAGGGCUUUCUAUAUAAAAAACAAAAAUGAAUCCAACUACUAUUUAUGGCUGUUAAUAAAUUUGGC